GAUGAAGAGCGUAGCGAAAUGCGAUAAGUAGUGUGAAUUGCAGAAUUCAGUGAAUCAUCGAAUCUUUGAACGCACAUUGCGCCCUUUGGUAUUCCUUAGGGCAUGCCUGUUCGAGCGUCAUUUAAACCUUCAAGCUCAGCUUGGUGUUGGGUGACUGUCCGCUUCACCGCGGACUCGCCUCAAAAUUAUUGGCGGCCGGUACAUUGGCUUCGAGCGCAGCAGAAACGCGAACUCGGGCCCGUCGUAUUGGCUCCCAGAAGCUAUCUUCACAAUUUUGACCUCGGAUCAGGUAGGGAUACCCGCUGAACUUAAGCAUAUCAAUAAGCGGAGGA
This 332-nucleotide unclassified non-coding RNA is filed under the name soil metagenome. RNAcentral describes it as "partial contains 5.8S ribosomal RNA, internal transcribed spacer 2, and large subunit ribosomal RNA". The stretch from base 1 to 120 matches the Rfam family "5.8S ribosomal RNA", at positions 35 to 154 of the family's 154-position model. The record is from RNAcentral.